RNAcentral lists this ribosomal RNA (468 nucleotides) under uncultured bacterium. RNAcentral describes it as "partial 16S ribosomal RNA". It matches the Rfam family "Bacterial small subunit ribosomal RNA", at positions 28 to 507 of the family's 1533-position model. The record is from RNAcentral.
GACGAACGCUUCCUUCUUUCUUCACACAUUCAAUUCGAACGUAAAGGCCCUGCUUUUUUGUUUUGCUCGAGUGGCGAACGGGUGAGUAACACGUGAGUAACCUGCCCUUGACUUUGGGAUAACUUCAGUAAACUGGGGCUAAUACCGGAUAGGAGCUCCUGCUGCAUGGUGGGGGUUGGAAAGUUUCGGCGGUUGGGGAUGGACUCGCGGCUUAUCAGCUUGUUGGUGGGGUAGUGGCUUACCAAGGCUUUGCCGGGUAGCCGGCCUGAGAGGGUGACCGGCCACAUUGGGACUGAGAUACGGCCCAGACUCCUACGGGAGGCAGCAGUGGGGAAUAUUGCACAAUGGGCGGAAGCCUGAUGCAGCAACGCCGCGUGCGGGAUGAAGGAAUUCGGGUUGUAAACCGCUUUCGCCUGUGACGAAGCGUGAGUGACGGUAAUGGGUAAAGAAGCACAGGCUAACUACGGG